GUUUUCGUAGUGUAGUGGUUAUCACAUGCGCUUCACACGCGCAAGGUCCCCAGUUCAAACCUGCAUGGGCGGAAACA
RNAcentral lists this transfer RNA (77 nucleotides) under Dendronephthya gigantea. RNAcentral's name for it is "tRNA-Val". It matches the Rfam family "tRNA". From Rfam's summary of the family: Transfer RNA (tRNA) molecules are approximately 80 nucleotides in length. Their secondary structure includes four short double-helical elements and three loops (D, anti-codon, and T loops). Lineage: Eukaryota; Metazoa; Cnidaria; Anthozoa; Malacalcyonacea; Nephtheidae. The record is from RNAcentral.